Molecule: ribosomal RNA, 274 nt
Filed under: uncultured bacterium
Lineage: Bacteria
Description: partial 16S ribosomal RNA
Rfam family: Bacterial small subunit ribosomal RNA
Source: RNAcentral
AUACGAGGGGUGCAAGCGUUAAUCGGAAUUACUGGGCGUAAAGCGUUCGUAGGCGGUUUGUUAAGCAAGAUGUGAAAGCCCUGGGCUCAACCUGGGAACUGCAUUUUGAACUGGCAAGCUAGAAUACUGUAGAGGGUGGUGGAAUUUCCAGUGUAGCGGUGAAAUGCGUAGAGAUUGGAAGGAACACCAGUGGCGAAGGCGGCCACCUGGACAGAUAUUGACGCUGAGGAACGAAAGCGUGGGGAGCGAACAGAAUUAGAAACCCGAGUAGUCC